Molecule: non-coding RNA, 2005 nt
Filed under: Helicobacter bizzozeronii CCUG 35545
Lineage: Bacteria; Pseudomonadati; Campylobacterota; Epsilonproteobacteria; Campylobacterales; Helicobacteraceae
Description: LSU rRNA
Rfam family: Bacterial large subunit ribosomal RNA
Source: RNAcentral
AAACAAGAUGUUAAGAGUAGAUGGUGGAUGCCUUGGGUAGUAGAGGCGAUGAAGGACGCACUAGACUGCGAUAAGCUGCGUGGAGCUGUCAAGAAGCGUUGAGGCGCAGAUGUCCGAAUGGGGCAACCCAAUCCAUAGCAAUAUGGAUUACUCUAUUUAGAGAGCGAACCUAGCGAAGUGAAACAUCUCAGUAGCUAGAGGAAAAGAAAUCAACGAGAUUCCCUCAGUAGUGGCGAGCGAAAGGGGAAAAGGGCAAACCGGGUGCUUGCACUCGGGGUUGAGGACGACAACAUUCAAGGGGUUUAUCUAGCAGAGUUGCUUGGAAAAGCAAGCCAUAGAAGGUGAUAGCCCUGUAUGCGAAAGAUACACCCUAGAUAGUCGUAUCCAGAGUAGGUCAGGACACGGGAAAUCCGGGCUGAAGCCGGGGAGACCACUCUCCAACCCUAAAUACUACUACUACACCGAUAGCGCACAAGUACCGUGAGGGAAAGGUGAAAAGAACCGUGGGUAACGGAGUGAAAUAGAACCUGAAACCAUCUACUUACAAUCAUUCAGAGCCCUAUGAUUUAUCAGGGUGAUGGACUGCCUUUUGCAUAAUGAUCCUGCGAGUUGUGGUGUCUGGCAAGGUUAAGUGAAAACGAGCCGUAGCGAAAGCGAGUCUGAAUAGGGCGCUUUAGUCAGACGCUGCAGACCCGAAGCCAAGUGAUCUAUCCAUGGCCAAGUUGAAACGAGUGUAACAGCUUGUGGAGGACUGAACCCGUGCCCAUUGAAACGGGCUGGGAUGAGCUGUGGAUAGGGGUGAAAGGCCAAACAAACUUGGUGAUAGCUGGUUCUCUUCGAAAUAUAUUUAGGUAUAGCCUCAAGUCAUAACAAGAGGGGGUAGAGCUCUGAUUGGGCUAGGGCUGCUCGCCGCAGUACCAAACCCUGUCAAACUGCGAAUACCUUUUGUUGUAUCUUGGGAGUCAGGCGGUGGGUGAUAAAAUCAAUCGUCAAGAGGGAAACAACCCAGACUACCAACUAAGGUCCCCAAGUUCUAUUCUGAGUGGAAAAAGAUGUGUGGUUACUCAAACAACCAGGAGGUUGGCUUAGAAGCAGCCAUCCUUUAAAGAAAGCGUAACAGCUCACUGGUCUAGUGAUCAUGCGCUGAAAAUAUAACGGGGCUAAGAUAGACACCGAAGUUGUAGAUUGCUCUUUUAGAGCAGUGGUAGAAGAGCGUUCUGUGCAGCGUUGAAGGCAUACCGGUAAGGAGUGUUGGAGCGCACAGAAGUGAGCAUGCAGGAAUGAGUAGCGAUAAGAUGCGUAAGAAUCGUAUCCGCCGUAAAUCUAAGGUUUCCUACGCGAUGUUCGUCAUCGUAGGGUUAGUCGGGUCCUAAGCCAAGUCCGAAAGGGGUAGGCGAUGGCAAAUAGGUUAAUAUUCCUAUACCAAUUGCAAUGUGCGAUGGGAGGACGCAUAAAGUUAGGUGAGCUAGCUGAUGGAAGUGCUAGUCGAAGGGUGUAGAUUGGGAGAGAGGCAAAUCCGCUCCUGUAUUUGAAACCUGACAGGCUCUUUAAGGUCUUCGGACUAAGAAGAGAAUCACUGAUACUAUCGUGCCAAGAAAAGUCUCUAAGUUUAGUUGCAAUUGUCCGUACCGCAAACCGACACAGGUAGAUGAGAUGAGUAUUCUAAGGCGCGUGGAAGAACUCUCUUUAAGGAACUCUGCAAACUAGCACCGUAAGUUCGCGAUAAGGUGUGCCUACGCAAGUAGGUCUCAGCAAAGAGUCCCUCCCGACUGUUUACCAAAAACACAGCACUUUGCCAACUCGUAAGAGGAAGUAUAAGGUGUGACGCCUGCCCGGUGCUCGAAGGUUAAGAGGAUGGGUUAGCCCGCAAGAGCGAAGCUUUGAAUUGAAGCCCGAGUAAACGGCGGCCGUAACUAUAACGGUCCUAAGGUAGCGAAAUUCCUUGUCGGUUAAAUAACCGACCUGCAUGAAUGGCGUAACGAGAUGGGAGCUGUCUCAAAGAGAG